Hippopotamus amphibius kiboko is the source of this 457-nucleotide long non-coding RNA. RefSeq lists it as uncharacterized. The transcript is spliced from 3 exons. The record is from RefSeq and is a predicted model, not a curated record. Lineage: Eukaryota; Metazoa; Chordata; Mammalia; Artiodactyla; Hippopotamidae.
GCGGCGAGGCGUGGUGGUGACGUCAGUUCCCGCCCGGCGCAAGACGUCACCAUUCCGCGCCGCGCAGCGCCUGACCCGACCUCGCGCUUCGCUCGCGUCUUUCGCGAGCAAGCCCGCUUUUUCCGCCGACUUCCUCAGGAGCACCCUCAUCGUGCCUUGGAAUCCAAUUCCAAGGAUGCUGGAAGCCUAUGGAUGAGGAUAUAACGCUGUAAAGACUCACAAAAUGUGUACUAGUACUUCCAGGAGAGUUCCAUUUAAACAGGCCCCUCGCCAAUCCUGCUUCCUCUGGGAGAAGCUGGCUAUAGUCCUGGGCUGUAGGGCUGCAUAAAGCCACAGGAAGGGAACCUGGUCCCCCAGCACCAAGUGCAGCUGGCUGAGAGGGAGGGGCCGGGGCCACACCCUCCAGCGGAGCUCCUCCCCUGCAGGCCUCCUGCUGCUGCUGCUACUCACAUGGCAG